CAGUGGGUCAGUUGCAGCAGGCUACCUGUGCACAAUUCUGCCGUUUGCAAGACUGUUGGAAAUCCUAUAAACUGACUACGCCACGGAUGAAACUCGAAAUGCUUUUUCAGGCAUGGAUCCUACAACAGUUGCAGUAUUGAAAGCUGCUAAUAUUAGCACAGAAUUGCUUCCCAGUCUGUCUAAGGUGGACUUGCGUGACCUCUUUCCGGGGCCUGAGCACUUUUUCCGAAGGAAAGCCAUUUGGAGGACCACUCAUGGUGAAAAUGAGUGUGAAGAACUGGAGCAGCCUCACCCAGGCACCUCCUCUGGAACUUAUGAUGGUGCCACAAUUCCAACUACCCCAAACGCUUUGUCCACUCCUUCUUCCUUCCCUGCACCUGUCCCCUCUUCAAAGCCAGGAGACAGUGCCAGCAGAACUGUACAGCUUCAAAGUCCACAAUAUGUUGUAUACACAGACACAGAGCUGGAGCUGUCAAGAACCACCUUUUUUGAAAAACAGCGUGCUGGACAAGAAGAAGACUUCACACUCUCCAAAGAGCUUCGCUGUCGCAUAAUAAGGAACACAGUAACAAGCAUGAUCGCCAUAAAGAGAGCUGCAGGCGAUGACUUCCGAUAUCCAAGUAGCCGUGAGCUAACUGCGAUGGCUCAGCGUCUGAUUGUAUACUACCCAAUGCUGCGGGACAGGUCUGCAGCCAGUGGAGCUGAGUGGGAAUCUGUGAAGAAGCAGCUUUUGAGAAGGGUCCAAAAUGUGACAACCCCCAAAAAGAAGCAGGGAGCAACUCCUUCAAGAAAGAGGCGACUGGCCAUCAGCUUUGAGAGCAGCAGCCAUGGGUCACCCACUGAUGACAGCGGGUCCAAUGCUUCAACUUUGAGCUUGGAAACAUCACCGCAGUCUGGAGGCACUUCCCUGGAGGCUGAACAGGUGGAUGGGCCUGAAACUACUGACAGCCCACAGAACCAGGCCAGACACUACAAAGUUCUGCAGGAGCUAUACAAAUCCAAGCCCAGGCCCAACAAGAAGGAUGUUGCCCAGCUGUUGGACCUGGAAUACCAAGCAAGACGGGCUUACAUCGACUCUGAUGUUCUGAAGGAGCACGACAGACCUACCAAGAUUCUUCAAGCAUAUCCCUGCUUCAGAGAAGUGGAUCAUAUAAUGGAUGAACUGCAGCGGAUCCUCAAUCAAGGAAACCCCCACUUCAUACCUGAACUGAAGAACCGCUGGAAGACCUUUUGUGAGAAGAUCCAGUUUUAUGGCGUUUUCAAAAAAGUCAUGAGACCUCCACUGGCUGAUAAAGUAAAGCGAGGGGUUGCGAUGAUGAAAGCUUUGCCAGACGUCUUCCCAUCACCCAUUGCUCCACCCAAGAAGUUGGGGCAUGCAAGUGAGGCCAUUCUUCACAUCUUGAGUCUGUGGAAGACCCCAACGCUUUCCUGAACGCAAGACCGCUCUCCAGCCCUGUAGUGAUCGUCUGUGAGAGCAACUGCAUUCUGGCCAUCGGAACCAUGCCUGUGCUGAUCUUCCCAAAGGAGGACAUCUCAGUGUGAUGUACAUCAUGGCAUGCUGCUACACCUUUCACCUCACAUACCCCAAGUGCAUAACCACACUCCUCUCUGUGCUGCAGACAGAGGUCCUCAUGGAUGCCAUCCAUGACCAAGACAUGACUUCUUCAUAUAAAAAAGCUAUGGCUGAGUGGAGGAAGUUCAGAGGACUUUUUGCAGUGUAGGAGAAGUAAAGAAGGGGAAGUUCAUACGUCAGGUGGCAGAUGAAGAUGGACAGAAUGACUUUCAGCCCAUCAGGUCAUCCAUGAACAAAUGGAGACAGAUCUUACAUUAUAUGAGAUGGAACAUUUUAAAUUUUACUUCAACAUAAUUGAUGGCACAAUUU
Molecule: RNA transcript, 1882 nt
Organism: Acanthochromis polyacanthus (spiny chromis)
Lineage: Eukaryota; Metazoa; Chordata; Actinopteri; Pomacentridae
Exons: 9
Source: RefSeq, a predicted model, not a curated record